GAGAGAUUAUGAGAAGACUAGCAAUAUAGGCCCUUCCAUUAUUUUCCAGAUCCAAACAGAAGGUAAGCCAAGUUGUUGGCCUAUCAAUAAAUGAGGUGUAAUCAGGAAAUAAAGACGACAAAAAAGCCAUAGUUAAAGAUAUAUUUUUCUGGUUCAUCUCUACUUUGUGUUUUUUGAAAUAGGUUCAUCUGUGCUUGAAUCUCACAUGGAGCUUCAAUUCCCUUCUUUUUUGAUCCUCUUCUUUGCCUUUCUUCUCUUCCUGUACACGGUACUCAAAUUACUAAGCGCUUUCUCAUCAGCAAAGCUACCGCCUGGGCCGAGGAAACUUCCCAUCAUCGGAAACCUGCACCAGCUCAAGGGGGCGCCCCAUCGCUCCCUAAAAGAACUGGCUGAGAAACAUGGACCCAUAAUUCACCUGCUGCUUGGCGAGCUUAGGACCACCGUAAUUUCCUCAGCGGAAUGUGCUAAAGAAGUCUUGACAACCCAUGAUGUAAUCUUUGCUCAAAGACCCAAAACUCUAGCUUCCCAGAUCCUGUCUUAUAAUUUCUUGGACAUUGGUUUUGCACCAUAUGGCACCUAUUGGAGACAGCUGAGGAGAAUCUGCAAGUUGGAGCUUUUAAGUCAAAGUCGAGUUGACUCAUUCCGAUCCAUGAGGGAAGAGGAGGUGACUAAUCUCGUCAAGGAAAUAUCUUCAUGUCGAGGAUCGCCAAUCGAUCUUAGUAAGAAACUGUUUUCAAUGACUUCUUGGAUAGCCAUGAGUGCAGCUUUUGGGAAACACUGUAAACACAAAGAAGAAUACAUAUCCGCUGCCUACAGGAUUAUAAAGCACAACACAGGUUUUACCCUUGUCAAUCUAUUCCCUUCUUUUAAAGUUCUUGAAUGGAUUUCAGGGGCCAGGCCCAAGCUUGAGAAAUUGCAUCGAGAGAAAGAUAAGAUAGUUCAGAAAAUCCUUGAUGAGCACAAAGAUAGGAGGGAGAAAAGGAUGAAAGAUGGUGAACAAGUAGCAGAGGAUGAUGAGGAAGACCAAAUUGAUCUUCUUUUGAAGCUCCGAGAGCAAGGGGACCUGGAAUUUCCAUUGACUGAUGACGCCAUCAAAGCUAUUCUCUGGGUCAGUACUUUCCUCAUCAGUGGGAAAAGCAUAUAUUUAAGAUAUUAAUUUAAUACCAUAAUGUAGUAUAAUUAUAGAGCUUUAUAAGCAUGUAGAAAUAAAUUGUUAUAUGUUUAUUUAUUUAAUGCUCAUAUUCUACAUAUUUGUUAGUUUCUAGUAAAACACAAUGGGAAAUUUUUAAGGGGAAAUAGAUUGUCAUUAUAUGAGAAUCAGGAUUUAAAUUUGACUAUUGGAUUAAUGCCCCACGGCAAAAUUAUUUUAUCAAGUUUUUGUCUAAUCUUGUAAUUCUGCUACAGGACUUGGUCACUGCUGGGGCUGAGACAUCAUCCUCAACUAUGGAGUGGGCAAUGACUGAAAUGCUGAGAUUUCCAGAGUCAAUGAAAGAGGCACAAGUUGAGGUACGUCGAGUUUAUGGUGAAAAAGGAAGGGUAGACGAAUCAAAUCUUCAUGAAUUGCAAUACUUAAAAGCAGUAGUGAAAGAAACCCUGAGGCUGCAUCCUCCAUCUCCUCUGUUAAUGCCAAGGCAGUCAAGUGAGGCUUGCCAGAUUAGUGGCUAUGACAUACCUACCAAUACUAGAGUCAUAAUUAAUGCAUUUGCAAUCGGAAGAGAUCCAAAGAACUGGCCUGAACCUGAGAAAUUUUCCCCAGAGAGAUUCCUUAACAACUCCAUAGAUUACAAGGGAAUGGAUUUUGAGUAUAUCCCAUUUGGCGCUGGAAGGAGAAUGUGUCCUGGAAUAUAUUUUGCUCAAGUUAAUAUUGAGUUGUUACUCGCACAAUUGCUGUUCCAUUUUGAUUGGAAACUACCUGAAGGAAUGAGGAAAGAAGAUAUAGACAUGGGUGAAUCUUUUGGUUUAGCUGUUUGCAGAAAAGUAGGUCUGGCUGUAAUUCCCAUUUCUUGGGCGGACAAUUGACGCCAGGGUGAAAAAAGCCUUAGCAUUCUCCUGACCUGCUCUGCUCUGCUCUGCUCUGUUCUGUAGGAUGUGAAUAGAUAAGAAAUAUAGUGUGGAGUCGUCUACGAUGAAAUAUGCUUUUGGCUAUGGCUAUGUAGAUAAGUCUGAUAUGUUUUAAUUAAUAUGUUACUAACCAAUACUUAUAAACCUUUUAGUAUUUGGCUAUGGCGGGUUUUUUUUUUUUUU
Molecule: unclassified non-coding RNA, 2244 nt
Filed under: Hevea brasiliensis (rubber tree)
Lineage: Eukaryota; Viridiplantae; Streptophyta; Magnoliopsida; Malpighiales; Euphorbiaceae
Source: RNAcentral